Molecule: ribosomal RNA, 495 nt
Filed under: uncultured bacterium
Lineage: Bacteria
Description: partial 16S ribosomal RNA
Rfam family: Bacterial small subunit ribosomal RNA
Source: RNAcentral
GAUGAACGCUGGCGGCGUGCCUAAUACAUGCAAGUAGAACGCUGAAGGAGGAGCUUGCUCUUCUGGAUGAGUUGCGAACGGGUGAGUAACGCGUAGGUAACCUGCCUGGUAGCGGGGGAUAACUAUUGGAAACGAUAGCUAAUACCGCAUGACAACAGUUAUUGCAUGAUAACUGUUUAAAAGGGGCAACUGCUCCACUACCAGAUGGACCUGCGUUGUAUUAGCUAGCUGGUGAGGUAACGGCUCACCAAGGCGACGAUACAUAGCCGACCUGAGAGGGGGAUCGGCCACACUGGGACUGGGGCACGGCCCAGACUCCUACGGGAGGCAGCAGUAGGGAAUCUUCGGCCAUGGACGGAAGUCUGACCGGGCAACGCCGCGUGAGUGAAGGAGGUUUUCGGAUCGUAAAGCUCUGUUGUAAGAGAAGAACGAGUGUGAGAGUGGAAAGUUCACACUGUGACGGUAUCUUACCAGAAAGGGACGGCUAACUACGUG